GUGCUUGCUUUGGCAGCACGUAUACUAAAACUGGACCAUACAGAGAAGACCAGCCUGGCCCCUGCACAAGGGUUUUGCAUGGAGGAUGCUAUUCAAUCUU
Molecule: small nuclear RNA, 100 nt
Filed under: Catagonus wagneri (Chacoan peccary)
Lineage: Eukaryota; Metazoa; Chordata; Mammalia; Artiodactyla; Tayassuidae
Source: RNAcentral